GGCUCUGGCUGCGGCCGCGGCGCCUUUGUCUUUGAGGCGCCUGGGGGCUUCUUCAGCCUUGGCCUGGCCAGGGCCUGGAGGGGCUCCGCGCCCCCGGUUCUUUCCCCGGCGACACCCGGCUCUCUCCUCCCCAGACCUCUAUCCCCACCCACCGCUUUUCGGUUCCCAACCCUGCUCGGAGAAAACUCCCAACACCAUAGCAAAAGAAAUCCACUUCGGAAGCUGAGAUUUCAAACAAAAGCUGCCCGUACCCACAACUCUGAGUCUCCAGCCAGUAACCGAUUUCAACUUUCUCCCUGUAAAUACUUAUUCUCUGGGCUUAACCGUUUUCCUUCUUUUUAUUCUCCCACUCUUAAGCGUGCCCUUUAUUAUGGGAUUUAGUGGGGUUAUUUUCGUCUUUAUUUUCCUGCCCGCCUGGCUCUGGUCUGCCGAGACGCCUCAGCCUCAGCCUUAGCAGCUGGAAAGCUCACAUCCCAGGCAGGGCUCGCAGCUCGCUCAGCUUGGAGAGAAUUUUCUCCCCCUCCCUCCAGCUAAAACCUCGCAGAAAACUCCCCCUGCGGUCGACUGGAAAAUGAGCUCACCCAAAUCUCGGUAGGCAGCCGUGGAGGAGGGCUCGGCCAAUCAGAAGGCGCUCCCGCCCAGGAGGCUGCGCAUUGGCUGCGGGGAAAAUCAAUUAUCAAAUAAUCGAUCAGCAGGGAGCUUCGAUCUGCCGGGAAUGUAAACUGCCAGUACCGAUUCCCGCCCUGACGGUGGCCAAAAGGCUGACUCCCUCAAAGCGACCGGCCUGAGCUCCCAUCCCAUGGUCCCCACCCCCAUCCCACCCUGCCAGCUGUGGAGCAAACCCUCGCCCCAGAGGGGAGAUAGUUGGUGGGAAGAGUUUUGAGAAAGAUUAGGGGGCCCCCUUCACUGGGAGUUUGUUUGGAAAAGGUUGAGAGCUCUCAAAUGUAUUGAAGCCAACUCUUAGGCGCCAAGUAAGAGAAUUUGCAUCCGUCCGCGAAGUAGGACUCAAGUUUCUUCUGAGUGGGCUUCUGAGGAGCAGGGGACCUGGGCGAUCUUCAAAACGUAGAGCUGCAGUAUUGCUCCACCGAGCGCUGGUAGCCUCCCUAGGCGACACCUAUGGCUUCUUCUAGCGCUCCGCAGGAGCUAGCGCCGGGGUGGUUCACCCCAGCCGUGGAGCCUUCGUGGAAAGCUGAGCAGAUGAGCCUUCCCAGCCUACUGCACACGUCCCCGCCCCCAACCUGAACUUGCUCCUUCUGUGCCUGAAGGGUCGGCACACAUUCACCCAAAACCUUCAGAUGAGCUUUGAGUUGAAUGAGCUCAACUGUUACAAAAGAAAAAUCUCCAGAGUCCCUUAGUACUUACCUGUCUCUUCUUUCUUAAUUUCUAGUUUCUGUCUUCAAUACUCAAAUUUUAAGAUAUUUUACUUUUAUCCACCACGUACUUGUAUACUGUUUUCUAACACAGUUACCCUGAUACAUCUCUUGGGAAGUUAAGGCAGGCCUGAGAGUCAAAGCCAAGGGGGGCUUUGGGGAAGCCAGGUGAAUUACCAGAGCCAACGCCUAACUCUGAGCCCGCCCCCCCCCCCUUCCCCUCGCAGUUUGAACUUGAAAGCAGCUUUUCAGGCCAAGAUGGAACCUUCUGAACUCAGGAAAGCGAUUUUUAAUUUUUGCGAAGCCGAGCUGGCUAGGCCAGGCAGCGCACUUCUUUUCCGAUUAUGGGGAGGGCUGCGCUGGGCCGUCAGCAGUGAGCUCUUCCCCAGCUCCUGAGGGCUGUGGCCCACACCUGAGCGCCUUCCGACAGCUACUCCCGGGGGUGGGAGCGCUGUCUCCCCAGCAGGCCUGCCAGGCAUCAGCGCGGCUUGGGCGGGGGGGGCGGGAGGGGGUCCAACCAGACACCAACACAGGCUCCUCUACGUUUAUGGUCCUUAAAUGAACUGCGAGGAAGGUUAUCAGAAGUGAAAGAAGGAAGGUUCAGAUACAUUGAAGAGCCUGGGGUGACAUUGACUCUAAGCUUACAGCAUGGGGAGCUCAGGAUGGUUUCAUUUCACUUCUGCAGAAAAGGUAGUGUUGGUGGUGGCAUCUUUUAAACUUUAGCAUAAGCAACUGAACUGUGAACAGUUAUUAUUUUAUGAGCUUCUCUUUGACCAUUUUUAAUCUUUUUUUUUAAGUCCCUACAACAAAAGCUAACAAGCAGAAAAUUCUUCCAGGAACGGAUCACAAGUGAGCACAGCUCUGUCCUGUAUUCUAAGCUAGUAAUGGAGGUACAGUACGGGAGCUGAAGAGGUCUAGCAGACGUGCUCCAGUCAUCAACUGCAAACAUUUACCUUUGAAGCAACUGGAUGAGCCAGAUUGGUUAUGGUUUGCAUCCAUGUUCGACUUGAUAAAGGGGCAUAAUUUGUGAAAAGCCUUCAGGCAAAAAUCGUACUGAUUAUUCAAAACUAAAUAUUUUAACAUUUCAUUGAGUUAGCUAAUGAAUAAGAAAAACAUCGAAGGCUUCCUGCAGCUCAGAAAGAAUUCUAGUGGCGUGGAAAGCACAAGGAGCAAAGAACAAGAAACUGAAGGACUCCUGCUGAGCAGUUAUUCGCUUGUGAAUAUCUGAAAAUGUAUUCUUCUGUGCGUUAUUUAAAAAUGAAAAAUAAACAUCAUCUUUCCUUGUC
Molecule: non-coding RNA, 2656 nt
Organism: Heterocephalus glaber (naked mole-rat)
Lineage: Eukaryota; Metazoa; Chordata; Mammalia; Rodentia; Bathyergidae
Source: RefSeq, a predicted model, not a curated record